Molecule: ribosomal RNA, 253 nt
Filed under: uncultured bacterium
Lineage: Bacteria
Description: partial 16S ribosomal RNA
Rfam family: Bacterial small subunit ribosomal RNA
Source: RNAcentral
UACGUAGGACGCAAGCGUUAUCCGGAGUUACUGGGCGUAAAGCGCGAGCAGGCGGCUCGACAAGUUCGCUGUGAAAGCUCCCGGCUCAACCGGGCGAGGCCAGUGGAAACUAUCGAGCUGGAGGGCAGUAGAGGCAGGCGGAAUUCCGGGUGGAGUGGUGAAAUGCGUAGAGAUCCGGAGGAACACCAGAGGCGAAGGCGGCCUGCUGGGCUGCACCUGACGCUGAGCCGCGAAAGCCAGGGGAGCGAACGGG